RNAcentral lists this ribosomal RNA (440 nucleotides) under uncultured bacterium. Its description in RNAcentral is "partial 16S ribosomal RNA". It matches the Rfam family "Bacterial small subunit ribosomal RNA", at positions 338 to 795 of the family's 1533-position model. The record is from RNAcentral.
CCUAUGGGCGACAGCAGUGGGGAAUAUUGCACAAUGGGGGGAACCCUGAUGCAGCGACGCCGCGUGAGUGAAGAAGUAUUUCGGUAUGUAAAGCUCUAUCAGCAGGGAAGAAGAUGACGGUACCUGACUAAGAAGCCCCGGCUAACUACGUGCCAGCAGCCGCGGUAAUACGUAGGGGGCAAGCGUUAUCCGGAUUUACUGGGUGUAAAGGGAGCGUAGACGGCAGGGCAAGUCUGGAGUGAAAGCCCGGGGCCCAACCCCGGGACUGCUUUGGAAACUGCCAUGCUAGAGUGCUGGAGAGGUAAGCGGAAUUCCUAGUGUAGCGGUGAAAUGCGUAGAUAUUGCGCAGAACUCCGAUUGCGAAGGCAGCAUACCGGCGGCGAUCUGACGCUGAGGCACGAAAGCGUGGGUAUCGAACAGGAUUAGAUACCCCUGUAGUC